CCUACGGGUGGCAGCAGUGAGGAAUAUUGGUCAAUGGACGAGAGUCUGAACCAGCCAAGUAGCGUGAAGGAUGACUGCCCUCUGGGUUGUAAACUUCUUUUAUAUGGGAAUAAAAUGUUCCACGUGUGGGAUUUUGUAUGUACCAUAUGAAUAAGGAUCGGCUAACUCCGUGCCAGCAGCCGCGGUAAUACGGAGGAUCCGAGCGUUAUCCGGAUGUAUUGGGUUUAAAGGGAGCGUAGGUGGAUUGGUAAGUCAGUUGGGAAAGUUUGCGGCUCAACUGUAAAAUUGCAGUUGAAACUGGCAGUCUUGAGUACAGUAGAGGUGGGCGGAAUUCGUGGUGUAGCGGUGAAAUGCUUAGAUAUCAAGAAGAACUCCGAUUGCGAAGGCAGCCCACUGGAAUGCAACUGACACUGAGGCUCGAAAGUGUGGGUAUCAAACAGGAUUAGAUACCCUGGUAGUC
This 460-nucleotide ribosomal RNA is filed under the name uncultured bacterium. RNAcentral describes it as "partial 16S ribosomal RNA". It matches the Rfam family "Bacterial small subunit ribosomal RNA", at positions 338 to 795 of the family's 1533-position model. The record is from RNAcentral.